GGAUGUGCAGGCAAUCUGGCUGCGACAUCUGUCACCCCAUUGAUCACCAGGAUUGAUUCCGCUGAUCUGGCUGGCUAGGCGGGUGUCCCCUUCCUCCCUCUCCACUCCAUGUGUAUCCCUCCCGAAGCUGCAAGCUCAGUGGAAGAGGACGCCUUCCCCAAAUAGAGACGGACCGGUCUUCGAUCCAGGGUAUAGGAGUAGCUGUGCUCCCCUGCUAGAACCUCCAAACAAGCUCUCAAGAUGAAUUCUGUUAUUAGAGAGUUAGGCUUGAUAGUUGUGUUCAAAUCAGCAUACCCAGGGGAACAAUGC
This is an unclassified non-coding RNA of Erinaceus europaeus (western European hedgehog), 309 nucleotides long. Its record names the gene 7SK. It matches the Rfam family "7SK RNA". Rfam says of the family: 7SK was discovered as an abundant small nuclear RNA in the mid-70s but a possible function has only recently been suggested. Two independent studies have found that 7SK RNA binds the CDK9/cyclin T complex (known as elongation factor P-TEFb). Lineage: Eukaryota; Metazoa; Chordata; Mammalia; Eulipotyphla; Erinaceidae. The record is from Ensembl.